This 71-nucleotide transfer RNA is filed under the name Ariosoma meeki. RNAcentral describes it as "tRNA-Ser". The record is from RNAcentral. Lineage: Eukaryota; Metazoa; Chordata; Actinopteri; Anguilliformes; Congridae.
GAGAGAGUCACAGAAGAACCCUUAGAUUGCUAGUCUGGGAGGCCCCGCAGUUAGAAUCCGCGGCUCACUCA